RNAcentral lists this ribosomal RNA (239 nucleotides) under uncultured bacterium. RNAcentral describes it as "partial 16S ribosomal RNA". It matches the Rfam family "Bacterial small subunit ribosomal RNA", at positions 524 to 762 of the family's 1533-position model. The record is from RNAcentral.
UACGGAGGGUGCAAGCGUUAUCCGGAUUCACUGGGUUUAAAGGGUGCGUAGGUGGGGCGAUAAGUCAGUGGUGAAAGCCUGCAGCUCAACUGCAGAAUUGCCAUUGAUACUGUCGCUCUUGAGUUCAGUUGAAGCGGGCGGAAUGUGUCAUGUAGCGGUGAAAUGCUUAGAUAUGACACAGAACACCGAUCGCGAAGGCAGCUCGCUAAGCUGAUACUGACACUGAGGCACGAAAGCGU